AUGCCCUUUGUGUUGGACCUUGGAAUC
This 27-nucleotide non-coding RNA is filed under the name Rattus norvegicus (Norway rat). The record is from RNAcentral. Lineage: Eukaryota; Metazoa; Chordata; Mammalia; Rodentia; Muridae.